RNAcentral lists this long non-coding RNA (1079 nucleotides) under Ursus maritimus (polar bear). RNAcentral describes it as "lncRNA (ENSUMAG00000013407.1)". Lineage: Eukaryota; Metazoa; Chordata; Mammalia; Carnivora; Ursidae. The record is from RNAcentral.
CACAGAUUCAGAGUGAGAGAGGGAAAAGCAGACUCCCCGCAGAGUAGGGACCAGAUGCAGGGUUCCAUCCCAGGACCCUAGGAUCACGACCUGAGCCGAAGGCAGACGCUUAACCAUCUGAGCCAUCCAGGCACCCUCAAACGGUGUUUUUGAAAUUGUUUCUUGUAUGUCAUUUAUAUCUUAAAGCUGUUAAAGAAAGAAAAAAAAAAGACACUAAGGUUAAUGUGCCUGACAGGUCUGAGGGCUCGAGUGGGUUGCGCAUUCAGAUUUCGCUGGCUAGACGAAGCGGGUGACAGCCUCCUGGAGGGACCUGGAUCCCACGCGGGCACCGGUGAGGACGAGAGACAGGUCCAUAGGUCAUUACUCCAGGGGGUACUAGCCUGCGUGGGGCGGCCACUAAGGAAGUGAGCUCAGCUGCGCAUGCGUCCGGCCCGGCCAGUCGAAAGACAGUCAUCCGUCUUUUGUUUUUCAAAAUUAACAAAAUAUGCCUUAAUAUUUGCCCGGAAGAGUGUGAAACAUUCACUCCUGGCCUCUCUUUCACUUGGUUUAUUCUUGUUUGGACGAACGAAGGGGAAGAGGCCGUGGGUCGAGCCCGGCAUCGACGAAGACAGCCAUGCCGGUCAGGCCCCCAACCGCACGCUGCUAUAAAUAGCUGGGCCCCGCCAUCGCCGCUCUUUUUGUGCGACGCUCUGACUCCUUCAGUUUGGGCAUGUUGCGGUGCCGCUGGGAGCAGCUGGGGCCCCCUCCCCUACACCAAGGGGAGGCGGCGGCCCCGGCGUCCUGCGCUGUCUUCGCACGGCUUCCUGCGUGUAGGUAUCUCGGGGCCCUACCGGUUGAGGGGGCCGCAGUCUCGGGCUGAGCAGGAUGAACUGCCAUUACAGACUAGAGUUUCUGAUGCGUCCAUGACGCCACUGUUUGGAACUGACCCAGCCCAGGUCAGGGGAUACUUGGCUGGAGUCGUCCCGGCCUCGGCUGACGCCCUGUUUCUUCCCAGGCCCCUGGUCCUCGCAGGCUGGACCGCAGCACCACGAGGGUGUUUUAAGAUGUCCGCCGGUGCGUUACCGUUGAAUGAACCAUGA